UGGCGAUGAUGAAAAAAAGGCCG
This 23-nucleotide non-coding RNA is filed under the name Arabidopsis thaliana (thale cress). The record is from RNAcentral. Lineage: Eukaryota; Viridiplantae; Streptophyta; Magnoliopsida; Brassicales; Brassicaceae.